This 69-nucleotide transfer RNA is filed under the name Trigonopterus sp. AH-2016. RNAcentral's name for it is "tRNA-Gln". The record is from RNAcentral. Lineage: Eukaryota; Metazoa; Arthropoda; Insecta; Coleoptera; Curculionidae.
UACGUUUUAGUAUAUUGAUGUAUAAAAAUUUUUGAUAUUUUGGGAGAUAGGUUGUUCUAUUAGGCGUAA